UACGUAGGUGGCAAGCGUUGUCCGGAUUUAUUGGGUUUAAAGGGUGCGUAGGCGGCCUAUUAAGUCAGUGGUGAAAUCUCCGGGCUUAACCCGGAAACUGCCAUUGAUACUAUUUGUCUUGAAUACUGUGGAGGUCAGCGGAAUAUGUCAUGUAGCGGUGAAAUGCUUAGAUAUGACAUAGAACACCAAUUGCGAAGGCAGCUGGCUACACAAAUAUUGACACUGAGGCACGAAAGCGUGGGGAUCAAACAGG
RNAcentral lists this ribosomal RNA (253 nucleotides) under uncultured bacterium. Its description in RNAcentral is "partial 16S ribosomal RNA". It matches the Rfam family "Bacterial small subunit ribosomal RNA", at positions 524 to 776 of the family's 1533-position model. The record is from RNAcentral.